AACGCACCUUGCGCUCCUUGGUAUUCCGAGGAGCAUGCCUGUUUGAGUGUCAUUAAAUUAUCAACCUCUUCAACUUUUUUUCAAAGGAGCUGAAGAGGCUUGGAUGUGGGGGCUGGAGGCUUAUCAGAGUCCCCUCCCCUUAAAUACAUUAGCUGGAACCUUUUUGUGAACCUGCAAUGGUGUGAUAAUUAUCUACGCUAUCGCUGGGACGCAAUAUCAAUACAGAGGUUUUGCUUCCAACAGCCCAUUCAAUUGGACACUUGACAAUUUGACCUCAAAUCAGGUAGGACUACCCGCUGAACUUAA
This 306-nucleotide unclassified non-coding RNA is filed under the name uncultured fungus. RNAcentral describes it as "sequence contains ITS2". The stretch from base 1 to 52 matches the Rfam family "5.8S ribosomal RNA", at positions 103 to 154 of the family's 154-position model. Lineage: Eukaryota; Fungi. The record is from RNAcentral.